Oncorhynchus keta (chum salmon) is the source of this 1783-nucleotide long non-coding RNA. RefSeq lists it as uncharacterized. NCBI's taxonomy places the organism in Eukaryota, Metazoa, Chordata, Actinopteri, Salmoniformes, Salmonidae. The record is from RefSeq and is a predicted model, not a curated record. The transcript is spliced from 4 exons.
AUAGAUAGGCUGGGAAGAGGUAGGAGAGACAGAGAGAGGUAGGAGAGACAGAGAGGUAGGAGAGACAGAGAGAGGUAGGAGAGACAGAGAGAGGUAGGAGAGACAGAGAGAGGUAGGAGAGACAGAGAGACAGAGAGAGAUAGGAGAGGCAGAGAGACAGAGAGAGGUAGGAGAGCCAGAGAGACAGAGAGAGAUAGGAGAGCCAGAGAGACAGAGAGAGGUAGGAGAGACAGAGAGAGGUAGGAGAGACAGAGAGAGGUAGGAGAGACAGAGAGAGGUAGGAGAGACAGAGAGAGGUAGGAGAGACAGAGAGAGGUAGGAGAGACAGAGAGAGGUAGGAGAGGCAGAGAGAGAUAGGAGAGGCAGAGAGACAGAGAGAGGUAGGAGAGACAGAGAGAGGUAGGAGAGACAGAGAGAGGUAGGAGAGACAGAGAGAGGUAGGAGAGACAGAGAGAGGUAGGAGAGACAGAGAGUUAUUAUGCAUGCAAGAGUGGGCCAAAAAAAAUUCCUCCACAGCGAUGUGAGAUACUGAUCAACAACUAAAGGAAGUGGUUGGUUGGAGUCAUUGCAGUUAUAGGUGGCCUGAUCAACUACAGGAAGUGGUUGGUUGGAGUCAUUGCAGCUAAAGGGGGCCUGAUCAACUACAGGAAGUGGUUGGUUGGAGUCAUUGCAGUUAUAGGUGGCCUGAUCAACUACAGGAAGUGUUUGGUUGGAGUCAUUGCAGUUAUAGGUGGCCUGAUCAACUACAGGAAGUGUUUGGUUGGAGUCAUUGCAGUUAUAGGUGGCCUGAUCAACUACAGGAAGUGUUUGGUUGGAGUCAUUGCAGUUAUAGGUGGCCUGAUCAACUACAGGAAGUGUUUGGUUGGAGUCAUUGCAGUUAUAGGUGGACUGAUCAACUACAGGAAGUGUUUGGUUGGAGUCAUUGCAGUUAUAGGUGGCCUGAUCAACUACAGGAAGUGUUUGGUUGGAGUCAUUGCAGUUAUAGGUGGCCUGAUCAACUACAGGAAGUGUUUGGUUGGAGUCAUUGCAGUUAUAGGUGGCCUGAUCAACUACAGGAAGUGUUUGGUUGGAGUCAUUGCAGUUAUAGGUGGCCUGAUCAACUACAGGAAGUGUUUGGUUGGAGUCAUUGCAGUUAUAGGUGGCCUGAUCAACUACAGGAAGUGGUUGGUUGGAGUCAUUGCAGUUAUAGGUGGCCUGAUCAACUACAGGAAGUGUUUGGUUGGAGUCAUUGCAGUUAUAGGUGGCCUGAUCAACUACAGGAAGUGGUUGGUUGGAGUCAUUGCAGUUAUAGGUGGCCUGAUCAACUACAGGAAGUGUUUGGUUGGAGUCAUUGCAGUUAUAGGUGGCCUGAUCAACUACAGGAAGUGUUUGGUUGGAGUCAUUGCAGUUAUAGGUGGCCUGAUCAACUACAGGAAGUGGUUGGUUGGAGUCAUUGCAGUUAUAGGUGGACUGAUCAACUACAGGAAGUGUUUGGUUGGAGUCAUUGCAGUUAUAGGUGGCCUGAUCAACUACAGGAAGUGGUUGGUUGGAGUCAUUGCAGUUAUAGGUGGCCUGAUCAACUACAGGAAGUGUUUGGUUGGAGUCAUUACAGCUAAAGGUGGACUGAUCAACAACUACAGGAAGUGUUUGGUUGGAGUCAUUGCAGUUAUAGUUGGCCUGAUCAACUACAGGAAGUGUUUGGUUGGAGUCAUUGCAGUUAUAGUUGGCCUGAUCAACUACAGGAAGUGUUUGGUUGGAGUCAUUGCAGUUAUAGUUGGCCUGAUCAACUACAGGAAGUGGUUGG